UAGAGUUUGAUCCCUGGCUCAGGACGAACGCUGGCGGCGUGCCUAAUACAUGCAAGUCGAGCGGACUUGUAGGAGCUUGCUCCUGCAGGUUAGCGGCGGACGGGUGAGUAACACGUGGGCAACCUACCUAUAAGACUGGGAUAACUUCGGGAAACCGGAGCUAAUACCGGAUGACAUAAAGGAACUCCUGUUCCUUUAUUGAAAGAUGGCUUCGGCUAUCACUUACAGAUGGGCCCGCGGCGCAUUAGCUAGUUGGUGAGGUAACGGCUCACCAAGGCGACGAUGCGUAGCCGACCUGAGAGGGUGAUCGGCCACACUGGGACUGAGACACGGCCCAGACUCCUACGGGAGGCAGCAGUAGGGAAUCUUCCGCAAUGGACGAAAGUCUGACGGAGCAACGCCGCGUGAACGAUGAAGGCCUUCGGGUCGUAAAGUUCUGUUGUUAGGGAAGAACAAGUGCUAGUUAAAUAAGCUGCACCUGGACGGACCACCA
This 493-nucleotide ribosomal RNA is filed under the name Bacillus sp. NHTS-57. RNAcentral's name for it is "bacterial SSU rRNA". It matches the Rfam family "Bacterial small subunit ribosomal RNA", at positions 1 to 485 of the family's 1533-position model. Lineage: Bacteria; Bacillati; Bacillota; Bacilli; Caryophanales; Bacillaceae. The record is from RNAcentral.